Non-coding RNA from Podarcis lilfordi (Lilford's wall lizard), 99 nucleotides. NCBI's taxonomy places the organism in Eukaryota, Metazoa, Chordata, Lepidosauria, Squamata, Lacertidae. The record is from the annotation of a GenBank genome assembly.
CUCUCUCUCUCUCUCUCUCUCUCUCUCUCCCUCCCUCUCUCUCUCUCUGUAUGUGUGUGUGUGUGUGAGAGAGAGAGAGAGAGACAGAGAGAGAGAGAG